GCGAAGUCAUGAACCACCCGCUUUUCGUCUCAGUUUUCACUACUUUUGAGUAUAAUAAAUUUUCCUCAAAGUGAAUAUCAACAGCUGAUAUCAACUCCGAUGUUAAGAAAUUUCGGUAUUCGGUACGACAUAUAUUAGUAUUAUUAUGGUGGAGGAUGGCGGGAAAGGAGUCGGAGAAGAAUGACCGGUGACCGGAAGGGAAGGUGGAGAUGGCGUUUUGGACUAGAGGAUUAGAGGAAGAUGGCCAAUAAGAGUUGCAAAUUUUUUGCCAGAGAAUAUCAUCGGAACAGAGAUUUUUAAGUUGUGAAGAAGCGGAACUGGUGGAAAUAAGAGUUGG
RNAcentral lists this long non-coding RNA (337 nucleotides) under Nicotiana tabacum (common tobacco). RNAcentral's name for it is "long non-coding RNA (NTAB_LNC008382)". Lineage: Eukaryota; Viridiplantae; Streptophyta; Magnoliopsida; Solanales; Solanaceae. The record is from RNAcentral.